AGGUGUCCAGAGUCUCGAAAAGGCUGCUGUGAGAAGCAGGCAAGGGUCCCGCUCUCGGAGUUCGUUCUGUGCAACUCUGCUUUCAGCGGCUUUCGGCAUUGGGCAUCUGCUCCUGUUUUGCUGAAAGUCAAGAAGAGUCCAAAGCUUAAAAAAAGGCCAGAUUUCUUUCAGGAUCUUUUCCCCAGAUGUUCCAAGAGAGGCCUGUGCAUUGCUCCAGCAUGCUGCCCUCGGCUGCCCUCUUAUCGUCUCCAAAUAAGACUGAGUGCUUUUAGGAAGAGGGUUUCUUUCUUUCUUUUUUGUUUUCAUGCGCAGCUCAUGAACGUUCCCAGGUCGAAUCAGAGCUGCAACCGCCAGCCUGCACCACAGCCUCGGCAACACCAGAUCUGAGCUGCGUCUGUGACCUACAGCACAGCAGUGCAAGGCCAGAUCCUUAACCCACGGAGCAAGGCCGGGGAUCGAACCUGCAUCCUCAUGGACACGAGUUGGGCUCGCUUCUGCUGAGCCCUGAUGGGACCUCCGAGGGUUUCUUUCUUGACGUCCGUGUUCCCACAGAGACGAGGUUCACUCCUGGUAGUGGGAUAAAAAGCUUUUCUGUGCAACCUUUUGUUGAAGUUCCACCCUGGACCCUCAGGCAGAGGGAUCACCGGGGGAGCUGGGUAAGCCCAGAUUUUCCUGGGCAGUCCCCCCAGAGAGCCCUGCCAACAUCACAUUUCCUGGAGGCUCGGCAUUAGCCAAACCUUCUCUGGGCUGUCUUCCUUGGGAGGGUUUGCACCAGGAUAAAAUGCUCUGAAAGCUGGCAGAAACUCAUGGGUUUACUUGCAUGUUCCCUAGUACUCAGGAAAAAUGCUGAGCAGAAAUGCUGGGUUUUACAACCACUUUUUUUGUUUUAUUUUAGUGAGUUAGGUUCAUCUGAGUUAUUCUCCCUGGGUUUUCUACACUGCGGAAAACUGACUAAAUCCACUCGGCAUGUCUCACCCGCUGCAGUCCAGUGCUUGGAACAUGUGGACCCGAUGACAUGGGGGCGGCUCUCACAAGCCUCUCUCAGAGCAGCUGGCUGGACGCCCUCCUCCUAGACGCCCCGUCACUACUGCAGCAAAUUAAAUGUCUCUCUCUUUCUAAUCA
Molecule: non-coding RNA, 1122 nt
Organism: Sus scrofa (pig)
Lineage: Eukaryota; Metazoa; Chordata; Mammalia; Artiodactyla; Suidae
Source: RefSeq, a predicted model, not a curated record